Molecule: ribosomal RNA, 253 nt
Filed under: uncultured bacterium
Lineage: Bacteria
Description: partial 16S ribosomal RNA
Rfam family: Bacterial small subunit ribosomal RNA
Source: RNAcentral
GACAGAGGGGGCAAGCGUUGCUCGGAAUUACUGGGGGUAAAGGGCGCGUAGGCGGAAUGGCAAGUCGGUCGUGAAAUCCUUCGGCUCAACCGAAGAACGUCGAUCGAAACUGCCGUUCUUGAGGAUUGCAGAGGAGACUGGAAUUCCCGGUGUAGCGGUGAAAUGUGUAGAGAUCGGGAGGAACACCGGUGGCGAAGGCGGGUCUCUGGGCAAUUCCUGACGCUGAGGCGCGAAAGCGUGGGGAGCAAACGGG